This 445-nucleotide ribosomal RNA is filed under the name uncultured bacterium. Its description in RNAcentral is "partial 16S ribosomal RNA". It matches the Rfam family "Bacterial small subunit ribosomal RNA", at positions 354 to 796 of the family's 1533-position model. The record is from RNAcentral.
GUGAGGAAUAUUGGUCAAUGGGCGGGAGCCUGAACCAGCCAAGUCGCGUGAAGGAAGAAGGAUCUAUGGUUCGUAAACUUCUUUUGCAGGGGAAUAAAGUGCAGGACGUGUCCUGUUUUGUAUGUACCCUGAGAAUAAGGAUCGGCUAACUCCGUGCCAGCAGCCGCGGUAAUACGGAGGAUCCGAGCGUUAUACGGAUUUAUUGGGGUUAAAGGGUGCGUAGGUGGUUUGAUAAGUCAGCGGUGAAAGUUUGCAGCUUAACUGUAAAAAUGCCGUUGAAACUGUCGGACUUGAGUGUAAAUGAGGUAGGCGGAAUGCGUGGUGUAGCGGUGAAAUGCAUAGAUAUCACGCAGAACUCCGAUUGCGAAGGCAGCUUACUAAGCUACAACUGACACUGAAGCACGAAAGCGUGGGGAUCAAACAGGAUUAGAUACCCUGGUAGUCC